This 428-nucleotide ribosomal RNA is filed under the name Verrucomicrobiota bacterium. Its description in RNAcentral is "Verrucomicrobia bacterium partial 16S ribosomal RNA". It matches the Rfam family "Bacterial small subunit ribosomal RNA", at positions 355 to 776 of the family's 1533-position model. Lineage: Bacteria; Pseudomonadati; Verrucomicrobiota. The record is from RNAcentral.
UAGGGAAUCUUCCGCAAUGGACGAAAGUCUGACGGAGCAACGCCGCGUGAGUGAAGAAGGAUUUCGGUUCGUAAAACUCUGUUGUUAGGGAAGAAAAAAUGUAUAGUAACUAUAUACAAAAGAGACGGUACCUAACCAGAAAGCCACGGCUAACUACGUGCCAGCAGCCGCGGUAAUACGUAGGUGGCAAGCGUUGUCCGGAAUUAUUGGGCGUAAAGCGCGCGCAGGUGGUUUAGAAAGUCUGAUGUGAAAGCCCACGGCUCAACCGUGGAGGGUCAUUGGAAACUAUAAACUUGAGUGCAGGAGAGAAAAGUGGAAUUCCUAGUGUAGCGGUGAAAUGCGUAGAGAUUAGGAGGAACACCGGUGGCGAAAGCGGCUUUUUGGCCUGCAACUGACACUGAGGCGCGAAAGCGUGGGGAGCAAACAGG